GGUUAAGCGACUAAGCGUACACGGUGGAUGCCCUGGCAGUCAGAGGCGAUGAAGGACGUGCUAAUCUGCGAAAAGCGCCGGCGAGGUGAUAUGAACCUUUGACCCGGCGAUGUCCGAAUGGGGAAACCCAGUGCAAUUCGUUGCACUAUCGUUAACUGAAUACAUAGGUUAACGAGGCGAACCGGGGGAACUGAAACAUCUAAGUACCCCGAGGAAAAGAAAUCAACCGAGAUUCCCCCAGUAGCGGCGAGCGAACGGGGAGCAGCCCAGAGUCUGAAUCAGCUUGUGUGUUAGUGGAACGGUCUGGAAAGUCCGGCGAUACAGGGUGAUAGCCCCGUACACGAAAGCACACAGGCUGUGAACUCGAAGAGUAGGGCGGGACACGUGGUAUCCUGUCUGAAUAUGGGGGGACCAUCCUCCAAGGCUAAAUACUCCUGACUGACCGAUAGUGAACCAGUACCGUGAGGGAAAGGCGAAAAGAACCCCGGCGAGGGGAGUGAAAAAGAACCUGAAACCGUGUACGUACAAGCAGUGGGAGCACCUUCGUGGUGUGACUGCGUACCUUUUGUAUAAUGGGUCAGCGACUUAUAUUCUGUAGCAAGGUUAACCGUAUAGGGGAGCCGAAGGGAAACCGAGUCUUAACUGGGCGUUAAGUUGCAGGGUAUAGACCCGAAACCCGGUGAUCUAGCCAUGGGCAGGUUGAAGGUUGGGUAACACUAACUGGAGGACCGAACCGACUAAUGUUGAAAAAUUAGCGGAUGACUUGUGGCUGGGGGUGAAAGGCCAAUCAAACCGGGAGAUAGCUGGUUCUCCCCGAAAGCUAUUUAGGUAGCGCCUCGUGAACUCAUCUUCGGGGGUAGAGCACUGUUUCGGCUAGGGGGCCAUCCCGGCUUACCAACCCGAUGCAAACUACGAAUACCGAAGAAUGUUAUCACGGGAGACACACGGCGGGUGCUAACGUCCGUCGUGAAGAGGGAAACAACCCAGACCGCCAGCUAAGGUCCCAAAGUCAUGGUUAAGUGGGAAACGAUGUGGGAAGGCACAGACAGCCAGGAUGUUGGCUUAGAAGCAGCCAUCAUUUAAAGAAAGCGUAAUAGCUCACUGGUCGAGUCGGCCUGCGCGGAAGAUGUAACGGGGCUAAACCAUGCACCGAAGCUGCGGCAGCGACGCUUAGGCGUUGUUGGGUAGGGGAGCGUUCUGUAAGCCGUUGAAGGUGGCCUGUGAGGGUUGCUGGAGGUAUCAGAAGUGCGAAUGCUGACAUAAGUAACGAUAAAGCGGGUGAAAAGCCCGCUCGCCGGAAGACCAAGGGUUCCUGUCCAACGUUAAUCGGGGCAGGGUGAGUCGACCCCUAAGGCGAGGCCGAAAGGCGUAGUCGAUGGGAAACAGGUUAAUAUUCCUGUACUUGGUGUUACUGCGAAGGGGGGACGGAGAAGGCUAUGUUAGCCGGGCGACGGUUGUCCCGGUUUAAGCAUGUAGGCGGAACGAUUAGGUAAAUCCGGUCGUUUUUUAACGCUGAGGUGUGAUGACGAGGCACUACGGUGCUGAAGUAACAAAUGCCCUGCUUCCAGGAAAAGCCUCUAAGCAUCAGGUAACACGAAAUCGUACCCCAAACCGACACAGGUGGUCAGGUAGAGAAUACCAAGGCGCUUGAGAGAACUCGGGUGAAGGAACUAGGCAAAAUGGUGCCGUAACUUCGGGAGAAGGCACGCUGAUAUGUAGGUGAAGCCCCUGCGGGUGGAGCUGAAAUCAGUCGAAGAUACCAGCUGGCUGCAACUGUUUAUUAAAAACACAGCACUGUGCAAACACGAAAGUGGACGUAUACGGUGUGACGCCUGCCCGGUGCCGGAAGGUUAAUUGAUGGGGUUAGCGGCAACGCGAAGCUCUUGAUCGAAGCCCCGGUAAACGGCGGCCGUAACUAUAACGGUCCUAAGGUAGCGAAAUUCCUUGUCGGGUAAGUUCCGACCUGCACGAAUGGCGUAAUGAUGGCCAGGCUGUCUCCACCCGAGACUCAGUGAAAUUGAACUCGCUGUGAAGAUGCAGUGUACCCGCGGCAAGACGGAAAGACCCCGUGAACCUUUACUAUAGCUUGACACUGAACACUGGUCCUUGAUGUGUAGGAUAGGUGGGAGGCUUUGAAGCGUGGACGCCAGUCUGCGUGGAGCCAUCCUUGAAAUACCACCCUUUAAUGGCUGGUGUUCUAACGUAGACCCGUAAUCCGGGUUGCGGACAGUGUCUGGUGGGUAGUUUGACUGGGGCGGUCUCCUCCCAAAGAGUAACGGAGGAGCACGAAGGUUAGCUAAUCCUGGUCGGACAUCAGGAGGUUAGUGCAAUGGCAUAAGCUAGCUUGACUGCGAGAGUGACGGCUCGAGCAGGUGCGAAAGCAGGUCAUAGUGAUCCGGUGGUUCUGAAUGGAAGGGCCAUCGCUCAACGGAUAAAAGGUACUCCGGGGAUAACAGGCUGAUACCGCCCAAGAGUUCAUAUCGACGGCGGUGUUUGGCACCUCGAUGUCGGCUCAUCACAUCCUGGGGCUGAAGUAGGUCCCAAGGGUAUGGCUGUUCGCCAUUUAAAGUGGUACGCGAGCUGGGUUUAGAACGUCGUGAGACAGUUCGGUCCCUAUCUGCCGUGGGCGCUGGAGAAUUGAGGGGGGCUGCUCCUAGUACGAGAGGACCGGAGUGGACGCAUCACUGGUGUUCGGGUUGUCAUGCCAAUGGCACUGCCCGGUAGCUAAAUGCGGAAAAGAUAAGUGCUGAAAGCAUCUAAGCACGAAACUUGCCCCGAGAUGAGUUCUCCCUGAGACUUUAAGUCUCCUGAAGGAACGUUGAAGACUACGACGUUGAUAGGUCGGGUGUGUAAGCGCAGCGAUGCGUUGAGCUAACCGAUACUAAUGAACCGUGAGGCUUAACCUU
RNAcentral lists this ribosomal RNA (2906 nucleotides) under Enterobacter asburiae. RNAcentral's name for it is "23S ribosomal RNA". It matches the Rfam family "Bacterial large subunit ribosomal RNA". The record is from RNAcentral. Lineage: Bacteria; Pseudomonadati; Pseudomonadota; Gammaproteobacteria; Enterobacterales; Enterobacteriaceae.